Polypterus senegalus (gray bichir) is the source of this 801-nucleotide long non-coding RNA. RefSeq lists it as uncharacterized. The record is from RefSeq and is a predicted model, not a curated record. Lineage: Eukaryota; Metazoa; Chordata; Cladistia; Polypteriformes; Polypteridae. The transcript has 3 exons.
CGCGCAGGUCUCGUCUGGAUUGUGGACUGUGAACAGCUCAGGCAUCAGAGCGGAUUUCUUCACCAAUUCGGAUUCCGGCGUCGACCUCUGCAAGUGUAAACGCAGCAACCGUUGAUUCUCUGUUAAAGGUAUUGCGCAGAUAACAGUUCAACACUACGAAUGUAAAAGUCGUAAAGAAGCGUGGUACAGAGGCAAUGAAUGGUAAAAGAUGAUCGUAUCUGGAAGUACUGUACUUGGACUGCGGUUGCGAGCUUUAUGGCGCCAUUAAUUGUUGCUGAAGAAGGUGAGAAAGGGAGUAAAAAAAUUGAUGUACUCUCGGCGCACAAAAGCAAAGGUUAUAAAGGAUCUGGGAACCCACGGCGUCUGUGUCUUCACCCUUUUUUUUUUUUUUUUGAAUACGGUAGAUUUUUGCUACUGCAAGAUUUGUAAGCUCGUACUACAGCUGUGGCAUAUAUAGCACCUUGAGAUGGUAAUCGCUAUACAACUACAACCUGUGAAAUAAAGUUUGUAUGUAGUUACGAGUGGUCGAUUGCCUAAUGCAUUGCACGGAUUACAGUUCGACAUUUACUUAUUUAAUUCAAGCUGCAGAUUAACAGAAUGGCACACUACAGUAUGUGGAAACACUUGGACUUGCCUACAACUUUGAAGUGGUGUCUGUUUUAUUAAGAUGCUAUGUGAAAUAAAGCUUGGCUAUAUUUGAAGCAAACGGAUGGGGAAUUAAAUCAAAGCUCGGACCUGCUUGAUCUUAAGCUGUGAACAUUUCUGAAAGCAGUUUGAUUGUGGUGGCUCGAGAUGGUGCUC